This 721-nucleotide long non-coding RNA is filed under the name Anas platyrhynchos platyrhynchos (common mallard). Its description in RNAcentral is "lncRNA (ENSAPLG00000023386.1)". The record is from RNAcentral. Lineage: Eukaryota; Metazoa; Chordata; Aves; Anseriformes; Anatidae.
AGGAUUGUGGAUACAUCUAAAAACUGCUUAUGGGGAAGCCUGCUUCUUAACAUUUGACACAUGCUAUCUGCUCUACUGAGACAGCUAGAAGAAGAUGCUCUCCCACCACAGAACAGAAGACUGGAGACAGGAGAAGAGGGUCUGCUGCAAGCCAACUUGUUCCAUUUCCUUUAUGUUGCACUCAAGAUCUGUGGUGUACAGGUUUCCAACGUGUGGUUACUUUGACUUUACUCUGAAAUAUCCCUUACAAGAAUUCCAUGGCAAUGUUACCUUGACGAAAACAAAUGUCCAAGAUCUUAAAUCACAUGGUAUGUACUGUAGCAGGCAGUGCUGGGCUAUGCUGAAGGACAAGAAAGACAUCUUUACAGAUACAGAUCUUUUUUAUGUUCCAGUGUUUAUUUCUCUAACCCCAUCUGGAAACAAAAGAAAAUAAACUCAGGCAACAACAUCUGUUGCUCCUGCUGCUCUGAAUUAAGCUAACUUAGUUUAAUCAUUUCACAAAAUCAAACACUAUUGCUCUACCUUUCCAGGUGUUUUCCUGACUCAUAGACUGACACUUCAGUUUGGCUCACUAGUUCUUCUCAUAAACUAUUCAAAUCUUAUUAAUUACCAUGAAAUCUAGACAACCUUUAAUUUCUCUUUUGGCAGAAAGAAGUAUACAGUCUACUGUGGAUGCUCUACUUAAAAUAAAAAAUAAAUAAAUAAAUAAAUAAAUAAAAAG